This is a non-coding RNA of Populus trichocarpa (black cottonwood), 74 nucleotides long. Lineage: Eukaryota; Viridiplantae; Streptophyta; Magnoliopsida; Malpighiales; Salicaceae. The record is from Rfam.
CUUUUGCCUGUGAUGGUAUUAAAUAUACUCCGAGAUUUAAAUAUCUAUGAAAUCAAUUUAAUCUGAGGCAUUUA